UCGAUGGCCAUCUAUACCGCGUACUCCAGCAGUCCAGCUGUUCCGUCCGCCCCCCUAUAAAAAAAAAAGCUGUUCCGUCCGUAGCCUUCGCUUCAGUUCAGCACUUGUGAGUUCCUGCAGAAGUGAACACCGCGCUCUCCCCUCCCUCCCUGUCUCCCCUCCCUUCCACACCCAUCCACCCCGCGCAUGGCGCUGGCAGCGGCCCUCGCCCUCGCCCGCGCUGCCGCCCCGCUUCUCCUCCGCGCCCGCCUGGCGCCGUGCUCGGUGCCGGCCCUGUCUCGCCGCCGCCUCCUCUCAUCCUCGCCCACCGCCGACGAGCCCCCUCCCCCCGCGCGGCCGCGGCCGCCUGCGUCGAUGCUGCCCGACCCGGAGUCCCUGCCGCCCUGGAGGGCCGCGCAGGCGGAAAUCCUCGGCGACAUCGACCCCGUCGUGCAGCUUAUCAAGGAUAUCCUCCAUUCUGACAGAUUAACUUGAACAUCAUGUCGACCGCCCAAUGAACAGCAGCAGCCGGCGACCUGAUCGAUUGAUGUGGCAUGAUGAAAGGUCUUGUUGAUCUUCUCUCUUCUAUCAGGGAAAUCGGAUGCUGCAACCUGAAAUACCUAGAAGACUAGAAUAUGUAAAGGCAUGCAUGAUGAACAGAGAUUUCCGGCGGCAGGGGGCAGGGGCCUUAGGCGCAGAGCAAGGAAAUCCUAACCAACCUGACGCACCAUCAUCGAUGAAGAGGAUACGGGGUGUACUGCAGCGGCGGCCGGGAAGUGACUGGGUUGCGGCGCAUCGCGAUGACGGGGAGAAGGGAACAAAGUAGAGUCGAGAGGUGGGGCUGGGCGUGAUCUCGGGCAUUGAUCCAUGGUCCAAAAUAAUUGGAGAAGUACGUGUUAGUAAGAUUAAGAUCCGGUGGCUGUGAUUUAAUAUAGUAAAUGUUGGUCCACCAAACUAACGAUAUGCAGAUGGUGAAUCACUUGGCCCGAAUGAUGAGGCUAUUAUUGUAGAAAAGCUUCUUACUUACCAUCCACGUGCAGAAGAUAAAAUUGGCUGUGGACUUGAUGCUAUAAUGGUUGAUAGGCACCCACAGUUCAGGAAGUCAAGAUGCCUUUUCGUCGUUCGCACUGAUGGCGUCUGGAUUGAUUUUUCGUACCAGAAGUGCCUCCGCGAAUACAUCCGAAAAAAGUAUCCAUCACAUGGAGAAAGAUUUAUACGAGAACAUUUCAAGCGAACCUGAAAAUAGUUGACAUGAAGCCGGGAUCCUUUAGUAGUGUUAAGAUGCUGCAAGUUUUGAAAUCCCUCUGUAAUUAUUGAUUCCCCCCAAGCUUAUGUUUGCUUGCUGCAUUUCCUACUUGCAUUUUAUGAGCAUGUGUACAUCAAAAAAUAGAAAAUCGUUUCAUCACAUAUGAGUUUGAAUGCUA
Brachypodium distachyon (stiff brome) is the source of this 1403-nucleotide RNA transcript. It is a transcript of the gene named protein DCL homolog, chloroplastic, with no coding region annotated. NCBI's taxonomy places the organism in Eukaryota, Viridiplantae, Streptophyta, Magnoliopsida, Poales, Poaceae. The transcript has 4 exons. The record is from RefSeq and is a predicted model, not a curated record.